CCUACGGGCGGCAGCAGUGAGGAAUAUUGGUCAAUGGACGAGAGUCUGAACCAGCCAAGUAGCGUGAAGGAUGACUGCCCUAUGGGUUGUAAACUUCUUUUAUAUGGGAAUAAAAUGUUCCACGUGUGGGAUUUUGUAUGUACCAUAUGAAUAAGGAUCGGCUAACUCCGUGCCAGCAGCCGCGGUAAUACGGAGGAUCCGAGCGUUAAUCGGAAUUACUGGGCGUAAAGGGCUCGUAGGCGGUAUGUCAAGUCAAGGGUGAAAUCCCCGCGCUCAACGUGGGAACUGCCUUUGAAACUGGCAAACGGGAGUGUGAGAGAGGAAAGUGGAAUGCGAGGUGUAGGAGUGAAAUCCGUAGAUAUCGGGAGGAACAUCAGGGGCGAAGGCGACUAUCUGGCACAUAACUGACGCUGAGGAGCGAAAGCGUGGGUAGCGAACAGGAUUAGAUACCCGUGUAGUC
RNAcentral lists this ribosomal RNA (460 nucleotides) under uncultured bacterium. RNAcentral describes it as "partial 16S ribosomal RNA". It matches the Rfam family "Bacterial small subunit ribosomal RNA", at positions 338 to 795 of the family's 1533-position model. The record is from RNAcentral.